This 643-nucleotide ribosomal RNA is filed under the name uncultured Actinomycetes bacterium. RNAcentral describes it as "bacterial SSU rRNA". It matches the Rfam family "Bacterial small subunit ribosomal RNA", at positions 232 to 885 of the family's 1533-position model. The record is from RNAcentral. Lineage: Bacteria; Bacillati; Actinomycetota; Actinomycetes.
CGCGGCCUAUCAGCUUGUUGGUGAGGUAAUGGCUCACCAAGGCGACGACGGGUAGCCGGCCUGAGAGGGCGAUCGGCCACGCUGGGACUGAGACACGGCCCAGACUCCUACGGGAGGCAGCAGUGGGGAAUAUUGCACAAUGGGCGAAAGCCUGAUGCAGCGACGCCGCGUGAGGGAUGAAGGCCUUCGGGUUGUAAACCUCUUUCAGCAGGGAAGAAGCGAAAGUGACGGUACCUGCAGAAGAAGCACCGGCUAACUACGUGCCAGCAGCCGCGGUAAUACGUAGGGUGCAAGCGUUGUCCGGAAUUAUUGGGCGUAAAGAGCUUGUAGGCGGUUUGUCGCGUCUGCUGUGAAAUUUCGGGGCUCAACCCCGAACUUGCAGUGGGUACGGGCAGACUAGAGUGUGGUAGGGGAGACUGGAAUUCCUGGUGUAGCGGUGAAAUGCGCAGAUAUCAGGAGGAACACCGAUGGCGAAGGCAGGUCUCUGGGCCACUACUGACGCUGAGAGGCGAAAGCAUGGGGAGCGAACAGGAUUAGAUACCCUGGUAGUCCAUGCCGUAAACGUUGGGAACUAGGUGUGGGCCUCAUUCCACGAGGUCCGUGCCGCAGCUAACGCAUUAAGUUCCCCGCCUGGGGAGUACGG